This 253-nucleotide ribosomal RNA is filed under the name uncultured bacterium. RNAcentral's name for it is "partial 16S ribosomal RNA". It matches the Rfam family "Bacterial small subunit ribosomal RNA", at positions 524 to 776 of the family's 1533-position model. The record is from RNAcentral.
UACGUAGGGGGCAAGCGUUAUCCGAAAUUACUGGGUGUAAAGGGAGCGUAGACGGUAAUGUAAGUCUGGAGUGAAAGGCGGGGGCCCAACCCCCGGACUGCUCUGGAAACUAUGUUACUAGAGUGCAGGAGAGGUAAGCGGAAUUCCUAGUGUAGCGGUGAAAUGCGUAGAUAUUAGGAGGAACACCAGUGGCGAAGGCGGCUUACUGGACUGUGACUGACGUUGAGGCUCGAAAGCGUGGGGAGCAAACAGG